CUUUACCCUAGCAAAGUACACCACUACCACACUGCAAAUCUGCAACAUCUAUAAAAAGGAACUCUCCAUAUCACAUUUUCUCCCUCUUAUCCCUCUCUCUCUGUAACACUUCGAUUUGUCUGCUUUCCACUUCACAAUCAUGGUGGCGGCGGCGGCAACUUCCUUCUCCAUCACCACCUCUACUCCUCCGUCCUCCUCCGCAUCAUCAACCAAAUCCCUAAAACCUUCGCUUGUUGGUAACUUAGGGUUUCUAUCCUCGUCAACUCCAUCGCUUAAGCCUCUCAGAGCUCAAGCCGCCGUUUCAUCUAGCAGCUCAAACUCCGGCGGAGGCGCGCUUGCGGCUCGCAUGGUCGCUGCACCUGCUACCGUCAAAGCUCCUGCUUCGUUUGAUUUUGAAACGUCCGUUUUUAAGAAGGAGAAAGUAACCCUAGCUGGAAAUGAUGAGUACAUUGUGAGGGGAGGUAGAGAUUUGUUCAAGUAUUUGCCUGAUGCUUUCAAAGGAAUCAAGCAGAUCGGAGUUAUCGGCUGGGGUUCUCAGGGACCUGCUCAAGCCCAGAACUUGAGGGAUUCUCUUGCAGAAAUAAAAUCUGACAUAGUUGUUAAGAUUGGUUUAAGAAAGGGUUCAAGCUCAUUUGCGGAGGCCCGCACAGCUGGGUUUACUGAAGAGAAUGGAACCCUUGGUGACAUAUAUGAGACUAUCUCUGGCAGUGAUCUAGUGCUGCUUUUGAUUUCUGAUGCUGCUCAGGCUGAUAAUUAUGAGAAAGUGUUCUCUCACAUGAAGCCAAACAGCAUACUUGGG
RNAcentral lists this unclassified non-coding RNA (799 nucleotides) under Hevea brasiliensis (rubber tree). Lineage: Eukaryota; Viridiplantae; Streptophyta; Magnoliopsida; Malpighiales; Euphorbiaceae. The record is from RNAcentral.